GACACUUGGAAAACGGCCUUUAUAAGACCAAACCUCUUCCAUCCAUAAACAUACUCAACACUGAGAGCGCACUCAACACUGAGAGCACACUCAACACAGCGGCACCCAUGGAUUUUCUCAAAAGUUUGACUGGUGAUACUGACAUUGCAAAGGCAGCAGGUGAAUUCGUGGAGAGCGGGGUGAAAAGUUUCCUGGGUUCUGGAGAUGAGAAAGCCGAGGGAGCACCCAGUGCUGAAGGAGACGCCCCCGUCACUGAUGGCGAAAAGACAGAUGACGUUGCAGAAGAUAGCGGUGAAAAUAAAGCUGACGAUCAAAAAGAACCUGCCGAUAACGCCGAGCAGUAAGAAGGAAGAGGAGUAAUGAAAGUUGUUGAAGGACUCUUCAAUUAGACAGCCUGCAGACCACAUCCAUCAACCUCAGAGAGGAGCAACUCCACCUGAACUGGUGUCAUAUGAAACAUGCACAACAUCAUAACUAAAUGUUUCAUUGAAUGUAACAAAUUUAUCAACUGUGCUGAGGAAAUCUGUGAAGCUUGUUAGACAAGCUAUGAUGCAUUACUAAAAUGGUUUGACCUUAACCUAUUUGGUUAAAAAUAUCUAUAAAUCUUUAAUGCCACCUGGAGACGACCAGUGUUCUCUGUGUCAUGAUUAAACAGUCAUUGUCAUAAAUUACAUGUACACCAGUGCAAAUCCUCUUCUGUAUUUUGGUGAAGACUGCUGAUGCUAAUUAAACUGCUUCAGCAACA
Molecule: long non-coding RNA, 745 nt
Organism: Epinephelus moara (kelp grouper)
Lineage: Eukaryota; Metazoa; Chordata; Actinopteri; Perciformes; Serranidae
Exons: 3
Source: RefSeq, a predicted model, not a curated record